GUCUAAUAUAUUGCCUCAACACACUUUCCACAUCAUCGCUAUCAGUCAAUGACUUAAAAACCGAAACUCCCAGUGCUACAUAACAAAGAUAAUAUCAGUAUCCACAUACCCACAUUUCAAAAUUAAGUUAUUUCGGGGUAUCAUAUCUAUCACAAAACUUCAUCCAUCACACAACCCCACCCGGAAGUCGCAUCACAAGGUGCCCGCCAACGAGACUCUUCACAUAGUAG
Molecule: unclassified non-coding RNA, 230 nt
Filed under: Hevea brasiliensis (rubber tree)
Lineage: Eukaryota; Viridiplantae; Streptophyta; Magnoliopsida; Malpighiales; Euphorbiaceae
Source: RNAcentral